AUUGAACGCUGGCGGCAUGCUCUACACAUGCAAGUCGAACGGUAACAGGCCGCAAGGUGCUGACGAGUGGCGAACGGGUGAGUAAUGCAUCGGAACGUGCCCAGUCGUGGGGGAUAACUACUCGAUAGAGUAGCUAAUACCGCAUACGAUCUAUGGUUGAAAGCGGGGGACCGUAAGGCCUCGCGCGAUUGGAGCGGCCGAUGUCAGAUUAGGUAGUUGGUGGGGUAAAGGCUCACCAAGCCAACGAUCUGCAGCUGGUCUGAGAGGACGACCCGCCACACUGGGACUGAGACACGGCCCAGACUCCUACGGGAGGCAGCAGUGGGGAAUUUUGGACAAUGGGCGCAAGCCUGAUCCAGCAAUGCCGCGUGCAGGAAGAAGGCCUUCGGGUUGUAAACUGCUUUUGUACGGAACGAAACGGCUCUGGUUAAUACCCGGGGCUAAUGACGGUACCGUAAGAAUAAGCACCGGCUAACUACGUG
This 482-nucleotide ribosomal RNA is filed under the name uncultured bacterium. Its description in RNAcentral is "partial 16S ribosomal RNA". It matches the Rfam family "Bacterial small subunit ribosomal RNA", at positions 30 to 507 of the family's 1533-position model. The record is from RNAcentral.